Molecule: ribosomal RNA, 433 nt
Filed under: uncultured bacterium
Lineage: Bacteria
Description: partial 16S ribosomal RNA
Rfam family: Bacterial small subunit ribosomal RNA
Source: RNAcentral
AACGAACGCUGGCGGCAUGCCUAACACAUGCAAGUCGAACGAGACCUUCGGGUCUAGUGGCGCACGGGUUCGUAACGCGUGGGAACCUUCCCUUAUGUUCGGAAUAACUCCCCGAAAGGGGUGCUAAUACCGGAUAAUGUCUUCGGACCAAAGAUUUAUCGCCUUUGGAUGUUCCCGCGUUGGAUUAGCUAGUUGGUAGGGUAAAAGCCUAUCAAGGCGACGAUCCAUAGAUGGUCUGAGAGGCUGAUCAGCCACACUGGGACUGAGACACGGCCCAGACUCCUACGGGAGGCAGCAGUGGCGAAUAUUGCACCACGGGCGAAAGCCUGAUCCAGCAAUGCCGCGUGAGUGAUGAAGGCCUUAGGGUUGUAAAGCUCUUUUAACCGGGAUGAUAAUGACAGUACCGGGAGAAUAAGCUCCGGCUAACUCCGUG